Molecule: transfer RNA, 76 nt
Filed under: Fusobacterium perfoetens
Lineage: Bacteria; Fusobacteriati; Fusobacteriota; Fusobacteriia; Fusobacteriales; Fusobacteriaceae
Also listed under: 10 other names
Description: tRNA-Val
Rfam family: tRNA
About the family: Transfer RNA (tRNA) molecules are approximately 80 nucleotides in length.
Source: RNAcentral
GGUCGCAUAGCUCAGUUGGGAGAGCACCUGCCUUACAAGCAGGGGGUCACAGGUUCAAGUCCUGUUGUGACCACCA